RNAcentral lists this ribosomal RNA (508 nucleotides) under uncultured bacterium. RNAcentral's name for it is "partial 16S ribosomal RNA". The record is from RNAcentral.
GGAGUUAGCCGGUGCUUCUUCUGUGAGUGAUGUCCUUCCUGCCGGCUAUUAACCCGCAGGCCUUCUUCCUCACUGAAAGUGCUUUACAACCCGAAGGCCUUCUUCACACACGCGGCAUGGCUGGAUCAGGGUUGCCCCCAUUGUCCAAUAUUCCCCACUGCUGCCUCCCGUAGGAGUCUGGGCCGUGUCUCAGUCCCAGUGUGGCUGAUCAUCCUCUCAGACCAGCUACGGAUCGUCGCCUUGGUGAGCCGUUACCUCACCAACCAGCUAAUCCGACAUAGGCUCAUCCGAUAGCGCGAGGCCCGAAGGUCCCCCGCUUUCCCCCGUAGGGCGUAUGCGGUAUUAGCCUGGGUUUCCCCAGGUUAUCCCCCACUACCGGGCAGAUUCCUAUGCAUUACUCACCCGUCCGCCGCUCGCCACCAGGGAGCAAGCUCCCCGUGCUGCCGCUCGACUUGCAUGUGUUAGGCCUGCCGCCAGCGUUCAAUCUGAACCAAGAUCAAAAUUCUGA